RNAcentral lists this ribosomal RNA (433 nucleotides) under uncultured bacterium. RNAcentral describes it as "partial 16S ribosomal RNA". It matches the Rfam family "Bacterial small subunit ribosomal RNA", at positions 29 to 507 of the family's 1533-position model. The record is from RNAcentral.
AACGAACGCUGGCGGCAUGCCUAACACAUGCAAGUCGAACGAAACCGUCCUGUCUAUGUGCGCACGGGGGCGGAACGCGGGGUAACCUGCCCUUAGGUUCGGAAUAACUCCCCUAAAGGGGUGUUAAGACCAGUGAAUGUCUUACGACCAAAGAGUUAUCGCCUUUGGGUGGGCCCGCGUUGGUUUAGCUAGUUGGGAGGGUAAAAGCCUACCAAGGCGACGAUCCAUAGCUGGUCUGAGAGGAUGCCAAGCCACAAUGGCAAUGAGACCCGGCCCAGACUCCUACGGGAGGCAGCAGUAGAGAAUAUUAGAGAAUGAGCGAAAGCGUGAUCAAGCAGUGCCGCGUGAGUGAUGAAGGCCUUAGGGUUGUACAGCUCUUUUACACGGGAUGAUAAUGACAGUACCGGGAGAAUAAGCUCCGGCUAACUACGUG